GGGGGUAUUAAAGAGAGAGACAGAGAGAGAGCGAGGGGGGUAUUAAAGAGAGAUACAGAGAGAGAGCCAGGGGGGUAUUAAAGAGAGAGACAGAGAGAGAGCCAGGGGGUAAUAAAGAGAGAGACAGAGAGAGAGCCAGGGGGGGUAAUAAAGAGAGAGACAGAGAGAGAGCGAGGGGGUAUUAAAGAGAGAGACAGAGAGAGAAAGCCAGGGGGUGUAUUAAAGAGAGAGACAGAGAGAGAGCGAGGGGGUGUUAAAGAGAGAGACAGAGAGAGAGCCAGGGGGGUAUUAAAGAGAGAGACAGAGAGAGAGUGAGGGGGUGUUAAAGAGAGAGACAGAGAGAGAGAGCCAGGGGG
Molecule: long non-coding RNA, 356 nt
Organism: Oncorhynchus tshawytscha (Chinook salmon)
Lineage: Eukaryota; Metazoa; Chordata; Actinopteri; Salmoniformes; Salmonidae
Source: Ensembl